AAUUUAGCCAGUCUGUAUUUUUCCUAUAUCUGACCAUUCCUUUUGCUGAAAGAAAACUACAUGAAGUGCCACUGACCAUAAAGGGGUAGCUUUUGUUCUUCAUGUACUUAGUUGGUGGCUGAUGUUCAUAUGUCUUCUCUGCUUCAAUUCAAGCAAAUACCGUGAUUGAAUUGGCAAAUUAACAUGACAAUGUCAAUGUCAAGACCUAUUACAAUAAAGUGAGAAAGAUCUUAUUUGCAGAGUAGUUUCUUAACAGCCUGGUUAUGGAGGAGCACUUUCCCCUCUGGAACUGCAUAGGUCAUGUAAUCACAAGGAAAAGUCUGUGGUGAUUAAUUUGUUCAUCUAUUUUCAUGCUUUUUUUUUUUCAAAAGAAUUCCUGAGAAGACAACAGAAGUGUCAUUUAUCCAGCUCCCAUCACAAUCCCUUAGCUGAUUUUUUAAAGAAGUUCCUAGAAACGCUGUUUUUCAUUCCUACAGUUUUGUUUGGUGACUUUAACUGAGGCAGACUGGAACAGGCAAUAAACUUCAAAAUCUUCAAAACCCUUCCCUUCCCUUUCCUUUUCUUUUCUUAAGAGGAGGAUGUGAUUUGGCCAUGUGAGGAUCUCUCACCUGGCUUUGUGGAGCUUUCAGCUGGUUUUGAGGGCCACAUCCUGUUCCAGCUAUACCUGCAAAAGGUUUGUUAACACAAUUUCAUUGUGCUCAGCUGUGUGUCAGAGUUGCUUUUUAAUGCCCUCACUUAAUCAUAAGGAUAUUUAAAUGGUUCUUUCUCCUGAUUAUGAGGACUUGCAUGUUUGCUGAUUCCCAUGAUCCUUAAUCUGAGAAAUAUCCUUGUCAAGUCAAAGGAGCUGCAGUGUCUAUACUUAAAUGGAGUGACAAAAUGGAUCCUCAACAUUUAUACGAGUGAUAUAGCUGGACUGCAGGUUCUAGAAAGAUAUUUUCCAUUUUAUCAUGGCUGAAAAACCAAAUGUAAAUGCUGGUGCUUUAUAGUGCUGAGACUGCUGCAGGAGAACAUUGGUGGGGAAGUUUGCCUGUGAAUUUUCAGAAAGGCUGAAGAUAUGCAGUGCUGGUAAACCUGAGCCAUCACCUGACUCCUCAUUUCAGAAAAGCGUUCCAAGUUUAUCAUCAUUCCCCAUGAAGGUAAUUGAUUAAUUAUAAAAUCAGAUGCUUAGAAUGGUUAUUUGAGGCCUUAUAAAAUUGGAAUAAAAUCAAAUAGGAAAGAUUCA
RNAcentral lists this long non-coding RNA (1222 nucleotides) under Phasianus colchicus (ring-necked pheasant). Its description in RNAcentral is "lncRNA (ENSPCLG00000010054.1)". The record is from RNAcentral. Lineage: Eukaryota; Metazoa; Chordata; Aves; Galliformes; Phasianidae.